CUAUCUUUACCCUGUUCUUUCCUCCUGAUACUAGCACUUCUUUCAUAAUUCAUGUCAAAAUUGUCAGAUUCAUAAUUACGCCUUCCACUCCGCUCAGGUUUCCUGGACACAUUGGAACUGUCAACAUCUUGACUAGUUGGAUUUAUUGGCAGUCUAGUCUCCUCAAAUCUCUCUUUACUUGAUCUAUCUUCAUGCGAAGCACUUAUCUCAAUGUCCUCCAGAGCUUCAAACUUUCCCCUCUUACUCCUUUCUGAAUUGGCUCUUCUCUCCUCUCUCUCCUGAGCCUUAAUACCUUUUUCAACAAUUGGGUCCAAACCCUUGCAUUUGCUAUUGCCUGGCUCAAUUUUCAGUGUGUCACUUCUCUCUCUGGCACUCUCCAGCUUAGGAUCAGAAGACUUCCCACUUCUUACGCCAGAUUUUUCUAAAUAUUCAUUAUCCUUACAAAUUGCAUCAGACUCAUCCCAUCUUCUCUGAGAGUUUCUUCCAUGCUCGACAGACCCAGGUCGCUUUUCGCUGCCACUAUCCCUUCUAUCUGAAUAUCUAGAAUCCCUUUCUUGAGCCUUUUCAACAUUAAAAUCAUGAUCUGAGUACUUUGAACUGGAUGUCUUUCUGGCUCUUUCAUCAGCUCUACUAUGUACUUUACUCCCAGAUUUGUCCCCGCUCUCACAUUUACUCUCUGCUUCUCCAUCUUGAUACCAACUGCUCAUUUUUUCCAAGGCAUUGACUUCUAUUUUUUUCUUCAUCUGCUUAGAGCGCUCCUUUCUAGCUUCAUAGUCAUCCUGAUCGCUGUCAGCUCUGCUCAAACCAGCCACUCUCUUUCGAUUCUCAUGUCUGUCAGUCGCGCUUCUUUUUCUAGCACUACGAUCCAAACCAUCAGCAUCUUCACUGCUUCCAGGUUUCCUUGACUUGCUUGACCGAUGCUUUCUUUUAUCAACACCAUCCCACUCAUCAUCAUCCCUGACACCAUCAAUGUUCACCUCUACAUCCUCAUCUACAUCCUGUUUUGCAGAACUCCUUGAGCAUUCAGGUGAACCCAUUGGCAAAAAAAAAGGACCCUCAAAAAAUCAAUCUCUUAGCUUUAUAUAAGCAAAAAAUUCGAUUUAUCCCAAAUAAUCAGCAGACAAGAAGCAUCCUGAGAAAUCGUAAGAAAGGAAAUUAGAAUAGGAAAUCAUGAUCUAUACACUUUACACGCUGAUGGCACAUAUGUUAUAAAAGGAUUUGACAUCUGAGAAAAAGUGAGACCUAAAGGCUCUAUUAAUGCACGUCAGUGCAACAGUUUUAAACAGAUGCCAAAAAUAUAUAAGCACAUAAAAUUCGAAAAUUGAGUUCAAGCCACGUUUUUUAUGGAGCAGAAACCACAAAUAGUAAAUUUAGAAGAGAAAACAAAAAUAUAAUCCCCAGACAAUUGCAGAGAAGAAAAAUAAAACAAAAACCUUUAUCUUGUACCUUUUUUCUCUAUUUGUUGAUGUCAAGCUCUUAAGUGAUUUUUUUCAGAUUCUGAAAUGAACCAAUUUCAAAAACAUCUCAGUAAAGAAAAUAUGUUAACCCUAGAUACUUUGAGGCCAACGGGAAAUAAAUAGUAUCAUCUCUGUCGUGACUAUGAAACCAAUUUCAUCCUUGCGCAAGUAAUACUUAACCCAAUUUUAAAAUUUAAAGGUCAAAUCAAUACAGGGUAAUAAUUAACUUAAACUAAGUAUUGAAAUUAAACUAGAAACAUCAGAUUCGCAGUGCCAAAAGAGGGCGACGGCGAAAAAUUAAUGCAAAAUUAGACCGACAAAAAAUGACAACUAAAACAUAAACAAAUUAAGCAAUGCCAAUUUCCAACUCAAUCACUUCAAUUCAAUUAACUUGAAGUAAAAAGUGAAAACAAAAUACACAAAUUAUGCUCCAGUUUUUAUUAAGAGAGAAGUCUACUCACAAAAGUGAUGAGGCUACAGUGGAGGUUGGCGGAGAGGAGGAAUUCCCAGAUGGAGUUUUUGAAGUUGCGGAGUCUACAGGGGAGAGGCGAAAGACGGAGGGAGAAAUCGGGUUGAGUGAUUUGACCCGAAUCAUUUAGGUUCGUUACCGGAGGUGGUAUCGGGUAUACGUGAUAAAAUAAUUUUAAUUGGUAAAAGUUAGACCAACUUAUUAUUACCAUUACGAAUUUUAUUAGAGUAAUUAUAUUUACACCAUUAUUUUUAUUUCUUACAUUAUAUUUUAUUUAUACUUAAAGUUCUUGAUUUUUGUUUAUUAUAACAAUAUUGUCUCUAACGAUUUUUCAUAUCAUUCUUAUCCUCACACUUUCUAUUAGUUAAAACAUUUUUUGUAUUUCAGAACAAUUUUAUGUCCAAAUAUCCGUUGAAAUAGCGUAAAAUAAUUUAUUUUUCCAUUUUAAAAAAUAAAUAAAUAAAAAGUGAUAAAAUUAUCUUUCCCUCAUUUCAAAGCAUGAAAAUAAAAUGUUUUGACAUAAAUCAUCAUCAAAUACUGGAAGUGUUAAUUAAUGAAAACUUGAAGAUGAGAAUUCGACCAAAAAAAAUUAAGAAAAUAAUUGCUAUAAUAAGCAAAUAUUAGGGGAUUUAACUAUAAUUGAAUGUGGUACAUCAAAUAAAAUUUGUGUUGUUAAUACUUAAUAUAAUCACCUAUUUUAUUAAGUCCAUUACAAUUUUCUUAUUUACUUAAAUAUUCUUAAAUAAAAUUACAUAAUUAGGUUUUUAAUAUACUUUUUAAUUAAAUAAAUUAAUGUUACACCACAAAUAUAAAACAUAAUUAAUUUAUUUCUUUUUCCUCAAUAUCUUAUUGCCAUAGCUUUUCCAUCUACUUUCGCUUUCUUCCAUGGUGGCAAGAUAAUUUUAUUUUCUUCACGAUAAAUGAAUUUGUACUCUAUUUAAACAUGAUUUACUGAUGAAUUUUUUUAGUUUAUUUGUCAAGUUUGAAAAUUAAGAGUUUGAUCUUUUUGUUAAUUUGAGCAAAUUUAGUAUGAAUUUAAAACAAUCAAAAGCAUGCAAGUCUAUUAUCUUCAAUUUGUUGUGAAUUUAAUACAAUUGUUUUCAACUUAUUAUUAAGUAUGCUUCGUAUAAAUUUAUUAUGAAUUACUUGUAUUUAAGUAUGAUUCUUUAUAGUUUUUAAGUGUGAAUAGAUUUAUAUAUAAUGUUUUUCACGUUUGUCAAAUUGCAUGCAAGAUAAUGAUUUUUAAAUGUUAAAUGAGUUUAUGAAUUUGCGUGUAUAUACCCAUCAUUUUAUUAAAACAUGGGCUCACUUUUUCAUAUGCAAAAUCCCUACAUUGAAUGGCUUGAAAGAAUAUCCCAGGAACUCUUUUGAGUUCAUUGGAUUUGCUUUGACUGCUCCCUCGAGGUUGUUACCAUCUUUCUCCAAUUACACCUCGUUCAAUUGUUGGGAAUUUACAUAAACAUGCAUAGUGGAAAAUAAAAUAAAUUUCAAUUCCCACCAAGAAUUUCUUUGUAUUUAGAUAGAAACUGUGAUAGAAAUUGUACCUUUUACAAAAUCUGCAAAUUCAUUUGCUAUUCUUUCGUUCCAACAAUCUUAAUUCACCAUCUACAACUGUCUAAUUGUUCAGUCUCUAAUAAAAAUACACACAAAGAACAAGAUUAUAGGAACCAAGAUUUUUUCCUCUUGUGCUAACAAGAAUGAAAAAUCUCUACAAAUUGAAAACCAUAAUCACUUAUUUAUAUAAAUCCAAACGGGCUUGGUCUGACGUGGUCCAAUAUUUAAUUAACUCAUUUAAUUAAAUUCGGCUCGUAAAUUAAUUAAUCUAAUUCGGACUUAUAAAUAAGCAAUCCAAUUAAUUAAUUUAAUAAUUUAUCCAACACUUGUUUAAUUAAUUAAUUGACAAAUCUCAAUCUUCCAGUUCUCAUUUUGUGUACGGCCCAUCAGGUUUCCGAUCACGAUACCUAACAUUGUGAAUUAUUAUUUUGAUCUAAUCAAAAUCAAUAAAUUAAAGUACCCUUUUAAUUUAUCAUCAAUUCACAUUCGCAUCCUAGAUUGACAUUUAACAAUGUGUCGGGGUAAUACAUGUGACGAAAAAGUCAUGUGGUAUGACAAAAUCAAACUCGUUCGUUUACCGUAAAACUAUAAUCCCUUUGUCAAUAUAAUCCGAUCAAUUACGAGAUAUGAAAGUGUGUCAAUCUUGAUUAUUGAUCAUCUAUUAAGUCAAUAUAAGUCGAAAACUCCUUUUCAACCUCUGAGUACACCAUGACCAAGGAUUUCAUUAUCGAUUUAAUUGAAAGAAAUAUGGAUUAUAAUCUCUUAUGUAAGAGUGACGAAUUCUCUAUUGGUCAUUCACAACCUUCAUACAAUUAUUGAUAUACCCAAAUAAUGCCGUAUUAGCAGCUCUUGGCAGAGCAACAUCCAACAUCGUCAAAACACGACUGUCCUCAUAUAAAGCACUAUGAUGAUCUUAAGUCAAAGGACCAAUUCCACUACCAAAUGUUAGAGAUUAACCACCGACACUUAGAUAGUUAUCCAUGUGAUAUCUCUCAAUGGGUCUCCAAUGUUUUGUUCUAUAACAAAAUAUCCACAUGUUCAUUCAAGUGUCACCACACUUUAACUUGUGAGAUCAACUACUUACUUCACAAGUAAGAAAUAUCACUCGUGAUAGUCUAUCUGUAAUAACGAUCUCCAUACUCGUCAUCACUUACCCCACGGAUGAUUUAAGAUUCAAUUAUAUGUAAUUUAUAUCUCACAAUCAGAACUCUUUGCGAUUAACAAACAUUAAGAUUUGAAUAUAUGGACUUCAUUAUUUAAUUCAAUUGAAUAUUAAUUAAUUAUAUAAUAGAUCUGUCAUAAAUCACAUCAACUAUUUAUUAAAAGUGUUUAUAUGCAAAGUCGAUUGGAUCUAGGACAUAACACUUACAGCAGCAGUUCAUAAAAAACUUAAAGAAGACAAACUUGGAAGGACCAAGAACCUAUUUUUGGAAAAACGGUGUAGCAAUAGGAUGAAGGAAGGGAGAUUUUUCAGAGAUUUUGCCCGUAUGAAUAUGGCCUUAUGUUCUUCCCCGAUCUUCCGUUUCCAAUGACUAUGAAAUAAUAUGGAAAAAGGUUGAGAAAAUGAGGAUUGAUAAUGGUGAUAUGUACACCACAAUUUGUAUUUUUUUUUUCAAUUUUUUAUUUCCAUUGAAUUAUAAGUAUAAUUGAAAUUUUAUUGUAGUGUAUUUAUUAAAAAUAUAUUUUACUUGUGUUGUGAUUAUAAUGCACUGUAGUAAUUAAAAUUUGUAGUGGUUAUCUCUUUUUUUGCUUGUUAUGAUUGGGAUACAAUAUCUUUACGAAACAUAUAUUCGGCCUCUGUUGGUGUAGAUAAAACUAAUUUUUUAAUAAAAAAAUUUAUCAAAAUUUACGAAAUGUUUAAUAGAAAAGUUCUGAUCCCAUGAAAUGGGAAAUUAAAAUUAAUUAUUAAUUUUGACUUAAAUUUUAAUCAAUUAUUUAAGUUACACCAAAUAAAAAAAAUAGAUAUUAUUAAUUUAUAUAAUAUUUAAAUUAAUAUAAACUAUUUGAUGAAAUUAUUUGUAAUCAUGCCCAUGGAUCAUGAUGUCUAAAGUGGAAAUUAUAAUCAUACAUAUUUUUUUCAAUUUGUCAUUUCAACAAGCAUGCACAAUGUUUUUUCUUUAAAAAAUAAGGUGUACACCAUCUUCCACCUACCUGCCACAAACCCCAAUUUAUUUUUCGAUCCAUUCCUUAAGUUACAAUCACACCCACACUACUACAAUUGACAUACGUCAUCACUGCCUAUUGCCACAACACUGACUGUCACCACCACCAUUUCCCACAUGUAAGUAGCACCCCGACAUUGUCGUUCGAGCGACGCUAUUUUGCACCAGUGCCUGAAGGUGUGCCUAGGAUGGCGCACUGCCUACGGCCAGACAAGAAGGUAAAAUGGGAGAAUUGGGGUUAGGAUGAAGAUUUGUUGUUUGAGGCCUCAAGCACAAUUUGUGAAAUUGCAUACCACUGCUUGCAGUUUCAGAUCAGGGUCAGUUUGCAAAUGGUGGUUGGUGGCGGUGGUAGUGGUAGAGUGGAAUGAAGAUCUUUUGUGAUUAACUAUUUGCGUGGUUGUGAUCAACAAAAUAAAUAAUUUGUGACAGUAAAUAAUAUGUGAUCGAUAAAAUCGGUAAUUUGUGACCAAUUAAUAAUAUGUGACUAAUAAAAUUGUGUGAUUGUGAUUAAAUCUUGUGCGAUUCGUGAUUGACCAUAAUCGUGUGUUAUUUGUAAUUUGUGACCUGUUUUUAUGACAUUGACCAGGCAUCAAAUGGUCACAAAUGUGAUCACCUAUCUUUGAAACUUUUUCACAAGUUUCUUAUUUUCAAACUUUGUCUUGAAAUCUUUGUAACUAUGUAUUCUUUCCGUGUUUAAACAAUUUUGAAUAACUGAUCCAAUAACAUGGAUUACGUGUUUUAGCAUUUUGACCAAAAGCGCAAUUAACCCAACAAGGGCUACCAAAGGAUAAAUACUAGUUGGUCAAACAUAAUCAAUAGCUAGACAAUAUCAGCAACUGACUAUAAGCUAAAAGUGCCAGCAAUUAAAGACAACCACGUCCAAGCUUAAAAACAACUAUAAACGGCCCCACAUAACAAUAAGGGAACAAUACACAUUUAGUGUGGUUAAAAGAUACAAUUUUAAAAUUAAUUAACAUAUUUUAAAAUAGGGGUUGAUGUAGUUCCAUUUAAUUAUGUUUCUAAGAGAAUCGAAAAGAACCAUGAACAAAUGAUUUUUUUGAUAAUGAAACCAAUGAUUUAUUUUAUUUUAAGAUAUAGAACCAAAUCGAAACUAAACUGUUGAAUUCUAAUUUAGUUUGGUUGAAUUUGGUUCUGAUUCCAUUACUUAAAAUUUCAAAUGAUAAAUGCAAAUUAAAAUAUAUCACCAUAUCCAUAAGUUAGUAACAUAUGCAUAAAUCAAAAAAUAAGCAACUAACAUUCAGCAAACUCAAUUUCAAAUUAUCAAUCAUCAAAUGAAAUAUUGUGUAAUAAAAUUCAUUUACAAAAGUUCAAACUAACAAACAAAUAUAGUCAUAAUUUAAAUACACAAACAUCAAGUUUCAUACAUAUACAAAAUAUUGUCUAACAAUAAUAAUUCACAAAUAUAGAUGAAUGAUUCACUGACAAAAGUUGAAUUUUUGAUGUGAUUCACUGAUGUGUAAAAAGAAAAAGAUAUGUAAAAAAUUAAUAAAAUUGCGUUUGCUAAAGAGAAGCGAGCUGAAUUGAAUUUUCGAGUAUUUAGUAAAUGGAACCGUAUAAUCCAAGUUUAAUUAUGGAAUCAUUCGGGUUCGAUUUCAUUCGACUCGAUUCGGUUUUCAUUCGAUUUUUGCGUUCAUAUAAUAAUUAAAACUUUUAAUAUUUACAACAACGCGACAUUAAUUCAACUAAUGAUAUGUUCAAUUUUAGCUCUUAUAAAAUAACAUAAUUUAAUCUUAUGUAUCUUUUGCGUCUCUUUUUGUUGAAUUUUUCAUAAAUUUGAUUGUUAAAAUCAUAGAAAAGUAAGAUAGCGAGUUUUCAAUUCGAUUUCUCCAGAACUGUAGAAACGACAUUACAAUAGAAUAAUAGAUUUAGAUAAAAUUUAGGUCAAUUUGAUUAAAUUGUGCUUAAAUUAUAAAUUAGAAGUAGGAAAAUCAUAUUUUGUAUUUUAGCUAAAUUAAUUAAUUAGUAAAUUUAUUUAGAAAAAAUAAAAUAAUUUGAUUUAUUUAAGAUAAAAAAAAUUAAAAAAAAUUUAGGGAAAUUCAAUUUUUAUUCGUUUCUUCGAUUUUUUGUUUAAAAUCGAGAAUCGAACUGAACUCGUCGAUUUUCAAUUCAAAUAAUCGUUCGGGUAUUUAACUUAAGAAAAAUCACUUGAUUUGAUUUAGUUCAAAUCGAGUUAGUUCUGUUUCGGUCCAAGAAUUUUGUCCAGCUCUAGUAUCAACUAUCAUACCAAAACCAACACUAGCCGCAUCACUGCAUACACCACAAUACACAGAGGUUACCAUCACAGAUCAUAAACCACUACACAUCAACAUAUGCACAAAUCACCGCCGCCAUUACAAUAGUCAACACCAUUGCCACCACUACCUUCCACCUUCAAAACCUCUCCCAAAACCAGAAGCAAAACCACCCCCAUGCUUGGCGCAACUGCUACAGUAGUGCUCCACAUGUCGUAGCGUCAAUGGAGAGAGAGAAGAGAGAUGGUUGGAGCGCAACUGCUACAGUGGUGCUCCACAUGUCGUAGCGUCAAUGGAGAGAGAGAAGAGAGAUGGUUGGUAGAGAGAGAAUAUAGAAGGAAGAGGUAGAGGGUAAACAAAAGAAGAAUGAUUAGGAUUUGGUAGAGAAAAUUAGGGUGGAUAAAUUAAUUUAAUUUUAUAAUAUUAUUAUUAAUACUAAAAAUUUGAAUUAUUACCUAUUUUGAAUAAAAAAACUUUUAAACAAUGUUUUUGAAUUGAAAAGUUAAAAAGUACGUGUGAGGUAAUGUUCACUAAAAAUAAAUAAAUAAAGGGAAAGUUUUAUAAGUAAGAGAUUAAUUAUAGCACAUUUCAAAAACAAGAAAACAAGUUUCAAAUUUCAAAAAUUAGAUUUUUAUUAAAAAUUAUUUAUGAUUUAAUUAUUUAAUUAUUUAUUUUAGUAAUUAAAUAUAUUCAAGUCACAGAUUUAUAUAAUUUGGUCACAAAUUAACGAUUUAAUUUGUCACUUAUUUUUUUUUUGGUUACAAAUAAGAAAUUUUAUGUCACGAAUUAUUUUACAGUCACAAUUCAAAAAUUUUAUAGGUCACAGUUUGUUGAAUGUCGCCAUUAUUUUACAAUCACAAAUCGAAAAAUUUAUAACUCAUGAUUUAUUUAUUGGUUACAAAUCAUAAAUAUUACAAAUCACAACUUAUUAUACAGUCACAAAUUAACAAUUUUUUAGAUCACACAUUAUUUUUCGAUCAUAAUUUAUCUUUUUCAUUGGUUACAUAUUAUUUAUUGGUAACAUAUUAAGCAAUUCAAUAGUCACGGUCGACCAAAUAAUUUGUGACUACCACCAACACUUACGACCACAAUCUCAUUGUCGUCUUCACAAUUUAUUAGUAGGUCACAAAUUAUUAAUUUUUUUGGUUACACACUAGAUCUUGGUCACAAUUUAUCUUUUUUAUUAGUCACAUAUUGUUUAUUGAUCACAGAUUAAUCAAUUUAAUGAUCACAAAUCAACCAAAUCAUCUGUGACCACCACCAACACGUGCGACAACCACCGUCUCUAACCGCACCACUGCCACCGUCACCGUCAAAACUGCCACCACCCGACAGCAACACUAUUGUCUCAAACAAAUCAACACAUCCACCUCAAUAGCCACGACCACCAGCAUCUUACCUUCACCACCGUAUCCACUGCCAUGACCACCAUAAUCUAUCACCACCACCGCCGUCGCCAUCGCCAUCGCCAUCCAAAAUCUCUUGCCACUUCAUUAGUCUCCAUCAACAGAGUAACUCACACUACAAAACCACUACACACGAGCGUUGUUAAUGCUCGACGCUGCACACGCCCUCAACCACUAGAUCCGCCCACCCCUAACCACUAUUACAACAUCGCCACCACACAAACACCAUUACCAUUGCCGCUGCCACCAACAACUACUAAUACCCAUUCUCUUCUUCAGCUCCAAUCUCUAAUAACCACUACCAAAUCACAUCUCCCAUGCCAUCCUACACCCGCCACAACCACCAACACCACUAUUGCUGACCACCGCACAAUAAAUGGAAUAAAAAAAAUCUCAAAAAAUCGAGGCGAUGAAGUAGAUCGGACAGAUUUAGUGUCACACUCGCUGCCUCAUUCAGCCGAGAGCAGUGUCGCUUAGCUCCAUUGCACCAUGCCACCAUUGAUGAAAGUGGUCCAUAACCUGGGAGAGGUAGAGAAGAUAGAGACUAAGGAAGAGAGAAGGGAAAGGAGGAAAAGUGUCGAUAGAGAGGCUGUGAAGAGAGAGAAGGAGAUGGAGAGAAAAAUAAAUUGAUUAGGGUUUUGAAAUGAAAUUUGUAUAAUUAAAAAGAUUUCUGAUUUUUGAAAUAUUAAACUUUGCCUAUGAUUUAUGAAAUGGGAAUUUUUAAUCUAUUCGAAUCUAUAAUUUCCACAUAAAUAGGGGAAAAUUUUGUAAAUACAUUACAAAUAUAUAGAAUUUCAUUUUAUACUAUUUAACUAAAAUAAAAUCUGGAAUUACUAUGUCACUCAAAAAGAAAACCAAAAAUACGGUAACUAAUACUUUCUUUUUUCGCCCUGAAAUUGUGGAGGCUCAAUUGAAAUGGCUGUAAUUAAUUGAAAAACCUGAACACGUGGGAAUUCAAAUUGAAAUCAAUAACGGAUGAUACCAAAUGAGGAAAAAUGGCGACAUUGAAGAAACAUUCUCCGCAUCUGAGAUAAAUUGGCUUCGGGAAGAAUUUCAUCAUGGAUUGUAUCUAUAUUGUAGAUAUCUAUUGAAAAGAUUCACUGAAGAAAACAAUUCGAGAAAAUGAGAAAUUAGUAGUCGAAAUUUGGUGAGGAAUAAUGAUUUGCUAAUUGAAAAUUUUGCAGUCGAAUUUCAUUACCAAAUUGAUGGUGAGUUUGAGUAUGAAGAAUAGGUUCAACUAAAGAUGAUGGGAUGAUGCGAGUAAUAUUUUUUGGAAAUUUGAGUUUGGCUCUGUUGCCUCUAAAUCAGAGGAAGGCUUUAUCAUAUGCACAAGCAGCAUCCUCAACAGUAUUGAAUGUUCCCGGCUAAACCCUAGUAGCCUUGUUUUUAUACACUAGUGUGAUUGUAUCCGUCUUCCACAUGAUGUAAUCCUCCAUGAAAAUGUAUCAGGACUUAUAUUUUGAUCUUCGUAUCAUAAAUUUCAUAUCGUUGAUUAAUAUCUGUUUUUUUUUUUUUUUUUUUCCUGAAUCAUUCUAUACUUGAUGUUACAUCUAGCUGAAACUAUUAAAAAAACAAAAAAAAGUUGAGUAUUGUUUACAUUGUGGCAUUCAUUUACAGAUACUUCAUUUGUUUGACUGCUACAUUUGAUUUCACAUUACCUUAAAACUCUUGUAAAACACAUAUUUGUGAAUGUAAUUUAGCAAUGCGUUGUUAAGCUUGGAUAAUCUGAUACAACACCAUAAUGAAUGCGUGGAUCUAAAUGUCAUCAGUAUAUAUGAUGAAAGAUGAAAUGGUCUUAACUUCUGGAACAAUUUAUUUUUAUUUUCUCCUCGUGUAGAUUCAGAAGGAAGUGUACCAUUUUGAGAGGCCCUCUUAGGUGCACGUGAAUCAGUUAUCAGGAUACCAUUAGAUAAGGGCACUAACUUCUGGUGACGUCGAUCUAUUUUCAUGCAUGACAGUAGAAGCUAAUAAUUGCGCAAGGAAAUCAUUCCUCAUGGAGAGGAUGUGACAAAUUUGAAGAGCAGUGGAUCAAUGACUCUCUAUGUUGCGAUCUGUAAAGGCAACAAUGAGAUCAUCGAAAUUCUAUUAAACCGAGAUGCCAACAUUGACAAACCUGUUGUUUCUAGAGUUUGAAUUCACUCCUUCGAAAACAAUCCGACAGAAUUACCUGAAUGCAAGAAUUGAUCAACAGGAUCCGAAAUUGUAAUUCGAGCCCACCGACUUCACGAUAUGUCCUUAAAACGAAUUUGCUGCCUUCAAUGGUGCUACAGGCGUCCAGCAAUCGUUUCCCAGGAUAGAACGAAUUUUUCGUCUCCUACGGAAGCAGCACUGCGGUCUGUAGGAGUUCCAACGAACUCACCGAAGUGUUUUUUGACUUCGAGACAAUAUCAGAACGAGAGAGAGGGAAAUGAGAUUCAAAGCACAGAAAGCUUGCAAUGAAAAUGGUGUAAAUUUUCUGCUAGAAAGGCUGGCUAUUUAUAGACUUGUUCGUGGCCAUUCGAACAGUCAUCACCUUUCAGACAAGCCUCAAAAAUCCGAACAGACAUACUAUUCUUAAAAGUCGUGUCUGUUAAGUCGGUUAACAGUCGGCUAACAGUCGACUGUUUGGUCGGUAAACAAUCGAAACAGUCGACUGUUAAAAAGAAAAUAAAACACCCGGAAUAAGCCAAAAUUUAAAUUUCAUUUUGUACCCAAGAAUUUAAUUAUUUACAAUUUGGUCCAAAAUUUUAAAUAAAUUUUGUCCAAAAAGUUAAUAUAGUGUAAAGGUCGACCCGGACCCGCACCGGACUCGUGUCGAGCCGGCCGGUCGGACGGGCGGCGGCGCGCGUGUGGGUUUAGAAUAUAGGUCUUCCCCCUUCCAAAGACUAUUGGUACCCCUUGGGGCCCAAACCCAAUUCCAAACUUUCACCUUAUAAACCACACCAAAGUUUCAUAACUUUCCUAUGUGGAAUAAGUGUUUGGCAAAUCAAAUUCUUCCAUAAUCCUUAGUUUAUGUGGGUUACUUUAACACUUAAUAUUUCAUUCAAUUUAAAAUGGUUUUCGAUAAAUAAAUAUAUCACGUUAAUCAUCUCGCGGAGUAAAACGCGAAUACGCUAGGUCCCGUAUUAUUUAAAAGGUGGGUCCCACUGAAAUUUGGGCUCAAAGUUGACCCAUUGAACCAUUUUUUCCCAACAAUCUCCCACAUGAAUGAACAUGGUUGGACUCCAAGGCUCCUAGCUGAGCAGCAAGGACAUGACAAUAUAAAGGAACUUUUCGAACAGUAUAAAUUGAACCAACCUCAACCCUCUAUCUUCGUCCCUAAGCAACGUCAUGAGGUUCGGUUUCUAGGCAGAUUUAAACGCAAGCCAAGUAUCACACUAGGAUCCCCACUACACAUUUCACGCACCAAGUGGUUUGUGGAAAGAUCACGUCCAAAGCGUACGAUUAACAAUUUCUACAAUUCUUUAUAUAUGACAAAUCAGAUGAACAUGGUUGGACUCCAAGGCUCCUAGAGAGUAUUUGAAUAUUAAGUUAAAAUUUAGUGAUGGAUGAACGAAGAUUUAUUGGAAUGAAUUCUUCAGCCGUGCUACAAGUCCCAACUCGGGGACCGACCCAAAAACACCGAUUUCAACUUCAUUUUUUUUCUUUUUUUCAGAUCCAAGGGCCGAGGUGGCCGGUUGGGACAAGUUGCAUUUUCCAUGAAUUCUUGUAAUCGAGGGGAUGAGGGUUAGGGAUUUUUGGGCAUAAUUUGGGUGCGGUGUUAUGGGUAGGGUUUAUGUGUAAUGUUUGGCGGAGUGAUUUUAGCUUUUACUUUGAAUAGUGAUAGGGAUGAAUAUAUUUUGUGGUUAUCAUUUUUACUCUAUGUAUUGUAGUAAUUCUGGGAUUAAAAAAAUUGAAAAGUAAAAUUUGAAUAUUAAUUUGAAAUGUAGUGAUGGGUAUAAUUUCCACUAAACAAACAAACUAGGCCCAAAAGCGUUCCAAAACUAAGAAGCCCACAACCAAAGCCUAAUCAAUCCAAGACCCAAAAAUAAAGUGAAGCCCUCUAGAUCAAACUAGAAAUAACUUUGGCUCUGUUUGUUCACUAUUUUUAGGAGAAUAGAUUUUGUAAUAGUAAUUCUUUUAAAAAUUUAUGGUUAAUAAGUUAAAAAAAAUGAAUUUAUAUGUAAAAUUAUUUUAUUAAAAGAAUGUAUGAUUGAAAACAAGUUUUGCGAAAAUUUAAUUUUUAGAUAAUAGAACUCAAACAGGGCUUUAUCUUCCUACUAGAAUGCAUCCGUUAGUUAUUUGGCUUAAAUGCAGCAUUAGCAGUGGCUUGAGCUUUGGAGAUCUUAUCCCUCUUAUCUUGACGACCCGCUUUUGCUGGUAAUAUCUUCCUCGUGUACAAACUCAGUAACUGUUUGAGAGUCCAUGACUGCAAUUUUAGAGUUGCCCUUUCAUUCGUAGAAUUCGGCCUCUGGACGAUUUUGCAUAGGUUGUAGCAAGAGUGAGCCAAGCUUCUCAAGAGGUUUUGGCAGUAGCUACGAAGAGAAUGAUUGAUGGUGAUAGUGAUCCAAUUAUAGCAUUGAGGAUCUACUGGACUUGGGCCUUGGCUAAUCAGUUAUGAAUAUUCAAGAAGGCCAUAAUCUAGAAAUAUGGAAUUGAAGGCCAAUCCUUGGAAUUAUGUCUGAUCAUUUGAUCCGUGUAAUUAUGUUUUCUCAAUAAUAAUGUGUUUCUAGAGAUUCAAGUGCCAAGAGAAUUGAAUGACAUAAAUACUAAGGAAUAAAGAUUAGCUAUCAGUUAAUAAAUGAUGGUUAUGUAAGCAAAAUUUGUACAAUUGGAGAUUGAAAUAAUCUUUUCUAAUAGAAACUCAAAAGAAAUAGUAAAAUAGAUUUUCACAUCAAUUUCCGAUAUAAACCGUCAUGAAAUAUGAAAUUGCAUCACGAUUUUCCAUGGAUUUUCUUGAAUAACAUAACCCUCUGCUCAAGAGUUAAAACACACGUGUCAUUCAUUAAAUAUCCCAUCGCGAAAUCAUUGGAGAAGAAAAAUUUAUAUCAAAUCUAGAGUACAUAGUAGUUCAUGUCACUACUUAAUUGAGGUGUGUAUUAAAUAGUUGUAAUCCACUAUUUGAUUGGGACCAAACAUGAAUGAAUAACCUACAUAUUUGGGAGUUCUAGAAAAUUCUCAAUUGAAAAAGAUGUUAAGAGGAACAAAUUUAAAGAAAUGCCAGUAAAUUAGCCUCUAUAUAUAUAUAUAUAUAUAUAUAUAUAUCUUCUACAAACCUAGUUACAAAAAAUCUACAUCAAACCACCCUUAAUAUCAUCAAUAAAAAUCAAUGUUCGCCCCCGAAACAUCAAUUUCACAUUGGAUUUGUUUAAACCCCAUUUUCAGGAGAGUAGAUUAUGUAAUAGUGACUUUUUUGAGAAUUUGUGGUUAAAAAUAGAGAGAAUUUUGAAUUUAGGUGUAAAUUUAUUUCACUUGAAAAAAAUGAAUUUUUUAAAAAAUGUGGCUAAAAAUGAGCUAAUAACCAUGGACUGGCACUUUGUAAUGGGGCCUAAUCAUCUGAUUUAGAAGUAUCAAGUCCGAAAAGGUGGAGAGUGUGAAAUCACUGAAAAUGAAUACAUAAACAAAUAAUUCUGAUUUUAAAAGUAUAUUUUAAAUUUUCAAGAAUUUAAAAUCCACGCUAAUUAAACCUGGGACCAGUCUAUAUAACUGCAAAAAUAAAUGCCCGACUAAGCCCCUAUAAAUAAAAAUCAUAUUUUUAAUAAAUUUUGAUAAAAAUUGAUGAAAUUUGUGAUUAAAAAAUUUAUAGAAAUUGUGAAUCAUAUGAAAUAUAUUUUAAAAUUAAUUGUUGCUUUGACUUUAAUUUUUAAACUAAGCCAAUUAAGGCUAAGUUUGAAUGAUACCAUCUAACACUUCACCAACCUCAUAUUUGACAAUCAUUAUUUUAAAAUUCUUUUUUCUACAUAUUUAUUUACAACCACAUAUUCACUUAAUAAAAAUUUUUAAACGUAAAUCCAAAAGUUUUUCCUACUUUUCAAUCACAUCCUUUUAAAAAUCACUAUAAAAAAAUCUAUUUUCUCUGAAUAAUGAUUGUCAAAUGUGCACUGCGGACUUGUAAUUUGUGUGGUGUGGUGUGACCCGUGUGGGGGCGGAGAGUGCUAAUCAAAUCCCUACUAUAUAAAAAAAUGAAUGUGAAGUUACUGUAAUUAGGAACGGUGAAUUCCUUUAUUUUAUCACAUUGUAGCAAUUUUUUUUAAAUAAUGGGAGCAAAAAUGACGUCGUGUUAUUUUCAAUCAUUUUUCUAUUUCCACACGUCAUUUCGCUGCAACCAUCACCUCUACUACAAUAUUUCUAUAUUUUCACACACAACUUCACAUCAUCCAAUCCAAUACUAAUAAAGAAAAGAAAUUAAAUGAUUUGACAAAUUAAAGAAAAAAUUACAGUUAAAAAAAAAUUAUUAUAAAGUUUUUUAAUUAAAUUGAAAUAAUUAAAAUUAAAAAUAAAUAUUAUUUAAUUAAAAUUGAAAAAAUUACGUUUUAUCAUAAAACGAAAAGAAUUAAAAAGAAUUUUAAAUCUAACAAAAAAUUAUUUAUAAUAUGAAUAAAAAAGAAAUUUUAAAAUAAUUUUCAAAAAAAUAAUAAAAAUAAAAUAAAUUAAACAAAAGAAAUUUAUGAAAACUAAAUAAAGAAUAUAUAAAUAUUAUUUAAUUAAAAUUGAAAACAUAAAGAGGAAAAAAUUAAAAAAAGAUUUAAAUUGAAAAAAAUUUAUUUAUAAUGCGAACAAAACAAAUUUAAAAAAAGAAAAGAAUAGGAAAAUAAAAUUUUCAUCUCACUUUCCCCGAAGAGAUCAUCCAGAUCUCUCCAUGAUCUUUUCGUGGACAUAAUGGAGAGGCAACUCUUUAUCGUAGAUUUUUUCCCUCAUUUUUUAAAAUUUGUUUUGUUCAUAUUAUAUAUAAUUUUUUUUAUUUAAAUUUUUUUUAAUUUUUCUUUAUGAUAAAACUUAUUUUUUUAAUUUUAAUUAAAUAAUAUUUAUAUAUUCUUUAUUUAAUUUUCGUAAUUUUUUUUGUUUUAUUUGUUUUAUUUUUAUUAUAUUUUUUUUGAAAAUUAUUUUAAAAUUUCUUUUUUUGUAUUAUAAACAAUUUUUUGUUCGAUUUAAAAUUCUUUUUAAUUUUUUUUCGUUUUAUAAUUUUUUCAAUUUUAAUUAAUAAUAUUUAUUUUUUAUUUUAAUUAUUUCAAUUUAAUUAAAAACUUUAUAAUAACUUUUUUUUUUGUUUUUUUUUUUGUCUGUAAUUUUUUCUUUAAUUUGUUAAAUCAUUAGUUUUUUUAUUCGUAUUGGUGGAAAAUGAUAGUUCAAUUUGGUUUGCUUAAUUUUUUGAGAUUAUGCUUUAUCCCAUUAUUUUUUGUUCAAUGUUCUGACAUUUGAGUUUUUCCAUAAUGGAAUACCAUCCUAGAUGCGGAGUUGAGAUGGAUAAUUCUUAAAAUUAAGAUUCUCGAUUUUAGUCAUUAUCUUAAUUAUUUUCAUUUUUGGAAAAAAAAAUUUAAUCUUAAACAUUAAGGUAAGAAGUGAAUAUAACAUACAUUGAUCAAGAUUUAAUUAUUAUUAAUUAAAUAAAUAAUAUUUUUCUAUAAUUAUAUAUAAGAUAUAUUCAAUCUUUUAUCAUAUUAAUGGAAUAAACAUGCCCCUCAUGGGGUGGUCGAGUUAGGGGAGUAAGUGAAUGCGAAGGUCUUUAGUCAGGAGUUCGAUUUUCCUUACCAACACUUUUUCGAUUAAGCUUGUCGCACAGGGCUUACCUAGUGUGGUUUACCUGACUGCGCGUGAUUUGCAAGCUAUUGCGUCAGUUUGAGGGUUUACCCAGUGCGCACUUGAAGAAUAGCGGCUACAGGUUCCCCGCCAUAAAAAAAAAAAUAGAAUAAACAGCGACGAUUUGCCAUUCGACAUAAGGAAACGAUAUCAUUUUGUACUAUAAAUGCAAGUAAAAAGUGAUAAAAAAAGGAAAAUGAAAAUUUUCUAUAGCUAAAAAUUUAUUUUUUAUUUUUUUAAUUUAUUUUGUUCAUAUUAUAAAUAUUUAAUAUUUAUAUAUUCUUUAUUUAAUUUUCAUAAUUUUCUUUUGUUUAAUUUGUUUUCUUUUUAUAAAUUUAUUAUAUAGUUUUUUAAUUAGAUUAAAAUAAUUAAAAUUGAAAAUAAAUAUUAUUUAAUUAAAAUUGAAAAAAUUAUGUUUUAUCAUAAAAUGAAAAUAAUUAAAAAAAUUUAAAUCAAACAAAAAAUUAUUUAUAGUAUGAAGAAAAAAGAAAUUUUAAAAAAUAAAUAAUAAAAAACAAAACAAAUUAAUGAAAUGAAAGUUACGAAAAUUAAAUAAAGAAUAUAUAUAAAUAUUAUUAAUUAAAAUUAAAUAAAAUAAGUUUUAUCAUAAGGAGAGAAAUUAAAAAGAAUUUUAAAUCGAAAAAAAUAUUUAUAAUAUGAACAAAACAAAUUAAAAAAAAUGAAAAAUGAAAUAGAAAUUUUUGUGCAUCCUGCAAUAAUGCAAUGAAUCAAACGAUCGGAUUUCACCAAACACUUCAAAUCUUCAACAAGUUUUGAAAAAUCUACAAUUUUGAAACUAAUAAAAAUACAAUAAAUUCACGACUCGUACAACACACGUGAUGGUCACCCAAAUUUUUAAUAUUUUUGGGUGAGGUUUGAGGUAAUUUUUUGACUACUUACGACCACCAAUACUGCCUGAUUUGGAUAUCGUUGGAAAGCCCACAAUAUCCUCUUUAAUUAUCACUCAAAAAUGCUUCAAUGACCCUUUUUGCAAGUUUUAAACUUCAGUGAUUGUUUUGUAAUUUUAAAGUAAGUUCAGUGACCCGUUGUGAAAUUAACACAUUGUUUGUUAUAGGAUUAUUAUUCACCACACAUUUACACAAUAAAAUAUUUACACAUAAACAAAUAAAAUUUCCUUACUUUUUAUAUCAAACAGGCCCUGAACUUUAUUUAAAUAAUUUAAAAAAUAUAGUAUUGAAAUCUGUGACUUAUUAAAUGUAAUCAUUAUUUAUUUGAUAGCCAUUAUUUUGAGAAAACAAUGUUUUGAAUAAUAAUAUUGUAGAGAAUGUGAGGUUAAAAAAUUGAGAGAGAUUUUGAAUUACGUGCAAAAUAUUUUAUUGAGUAAAUGUGUGGUUAUGAGUAUGUGAAUUAAAGAGUUUUGAAAUAAUAGUUAUCAAAAAGAGGCUAAGAAUAGAGAGUCAAUUUAACUCUCUAAGUUUGGAGAGUCAAACCCAUUCAUUAUUAGAAAAAGUUAAAAUAAAGAUCCUUUUGAAAUUUAUUUUUAAGUAUUGACUCUUUAAAGUAAAGAACAUUUUAUAUUUGAAGAGACUCUUUGAGAUACAUUCACUGCUUCGAAGGUUGGCACAAAGCUAAUUUGAGAAGCUUUCAGUCUCAAAACUUAAGCCCCUGUUUGUUAGGAUUUAAAAAUUUGAGAAAAAUUAAAGUCAGAGUUAACAAUCAAUUUUAACUAUAGAUUUUAUGGGAUACACAAUUUUUAUUAAAUUUAAAGUUACACGUUUCAUCAACUUUUGUCAAAAUCAACUAAAAAUUUGAUUCAUAACUGCACCUAACAGGGGCUAGAUAUCUAUUAUUGGUUCAUGUUUUGAUUUAUUCCCGCUGUUUUCCUUUAAAAUACCCAUCUAAUAUUUGAUGAAACUUGAAUUAAGCUAUUCACUCCUAUAAUUGUUUGCACCAUUCACUUGGACCAUUCGUUAUCAUAAAAUUUAGAAAUAGGCAAAAAAAAUUUCAAAAGAAGUAUCAUUUACAAAAAUGAAGAAACGCCAACUUUUAGUUGGAUUAUUUGUUGGGCUAGACCAGCAGAGCUUUGGAUAGCCAAUUGUGGUGAUGGUGGCGGUGGGGUGAAAUUUUGGCUGGGCUAUGGUAGGUGGUUUUGGGCGCUUGGAGUGGGAUUGUCGAGUUGAAAAUUCUCAUCACACUUUUUCAUUCACGAUUUUAUGUUAAAGAAUCCUUGUCGAUUCUUUCCAUUAUUCCUAGGUUGUGGGUAGGGUAAGGCCUGAGUGAGAUUUGAGUUGGGUCAAUUUUGACUCAAAUCCAAAGUCAAAAUCAAAUUAUUCGGUUGGGUGAAUUUCAACCAAGCCAAUUCAGUCUAACUCCUAGACCAAACGGAAUCAAACCAAAUGGGUUUUGGUAAGUUGGUUUGGACUUUUAAUCCAAAUUGCAUUUUUUAUUUUUAAAAAUUGUUUGAAUUUAAAGCCCAUUUAAAUUACAAGAACUAAAUAACUUUAUAUAACAAGAACCAUUGACUAACAAAUAAAAUCGAGUUAAUAGAGACAGAUCAACAAAAAAUUUAAUAAUUUUGUUGCUUUUUUAUCUAUUAUGUUACCUAACUAUCUGAGCAGGAAAAAGGCCAAGUAUAACAUAAUGAGUUUGUGAAAGGAAAUUUUUAGUGCUAUUACUUACUAGUAAUAUUAUAAAUUUGAGGGAAUCGAGACAUAGUCAUAAGAUUAUGGCUUAUCUUUUAAUUUUUAUUAUUCUUAAAAAAAAAAGUAAAAAUGUAAAUGGGUUGGGUCAAUUCGGUUAACCAACGAUUUAAGACCUCAAAUUAUGACUGAAUCGAUCCACCAUAGUUUUGGUUAAAAAAAUCAAGCCAAACAAAUUAUUUGUGUCAAACCAAUCCAAAUCCAACCGAGUCGGUUCGAUUUGCUUGGUUUAGUCGAUUUUUCGAUUUUUUUUGCUCGGGCCGAUGUAGGGUAAGGGAAGAAGAAGACUUUUUUUAAUAUAUUAUUUACAUUUUUUGUCUUUUUAAUUUACCUUUUUGUAUGAGUUUUUUAUUUAUUUGAAGUUUUGGAGUAGAAUUGUUCUUUGAUUGGGCAUUAAAUUGCAAAUAGCAAAAGGAGUGAUUAUAUUCAAACCAUAAUUUUUAUUUCCUGAAUCACAUUUUAAUUAUACUUAAGAUUCUUAAUCUUUGGUUAUUGUCACUUAUGUUCCUAACGAAUUUUCAUUUCAUUAUUAUCCCCAAACUUUUUAUUAGUUAACAAAUUUUUUAUUUGACAACAAUUUUAUGUCUAAAGGUCUGUUGAAUUGGCGUAAAAUAAAUUAUUUUUCCAUCAUAUUUUCAUAAAAUAAAUAAAUAAAAAGUGCACAAUCUUUUUAUUCCCUCAUUUCAAAGUAUAAAAGCAAAAUAUUUGGAUAUAAAUCAUCAUAAAAAACGAGGCAUAAUAAUUAAUGGAAUGCUAAAAAUAAGAAUUUGACGAAAAAAAUUAAGAAAAAAUUGUUAAAAUGAGCAAAGAUUAGAGAAAUUGUGAGAUCAAUGUAACCACCCACAAAUGGACAGACUCAUUUAGCACAUGUUUGUCUCUGACUAUUUUUAAAAAACAUUUUUGCUCAAACUCAUUUUAACCAUACGUUCUUAUAAUAAAAUAUUUUGCAUGUAAGUUCAAAAUUUAUUCCAACUUUUUAACAACACAUUAUUUAAAAAACUCACCAAUCUAAAAUUCAUUUUCAUUGAAUAAGGAUAGACAAACAGGGAUUUAAGCUUUACACUUGAAUAAUGUUACAUAUUUGAUCACUCUCGUUGCCUGGUUUCAUAUUCAAUCUUUCAAAGGUUGGGAUAUAAAGUUAAGACAAAAAAUAAAAAUAAAAAGGGAAAUGUGAUAGAGCAAGAUUGCUACCUUAGUAAAGGUCAUGCUAAGUAUCAAAUUUAUCCUAAUACAAAGUGCAUUUUAUACAUAAAAUUAGCAAUUAUUUUGGAUUUAUUCCAUCAAAAGAAUCAAUUACACAUUCUUUAAAAUUUAAUUUUUUUUUCCAAACUCAUUUUCAACUCCACAUUUUCCCAACAAAAUAAUUGUACAAGUAAAUUCAAAAUUUUUCUGUACUUUUUAAAUACACAUUUUCAAAAAUAAAAAAAUAAAAGAAUUACAUAUUCAUAUACAUAUCAGUUUUCUUUUGGCCUCAAUGAUAAAUGUCAACUCCGUUGAUUCUUUGAACAUUCAAAUAAUUUGUUAACUAAAAAGUUUCUUAAUUUCAUCCGGUUGAUUCUUUAAACGUUAAUAGUUUGGUAAUUAAAAAGAUUCUUAAUUUUAUCCAUUUUUGAUAGAGUCUGAAUUUAAUUCAAAUAAUCAACAAAAAAAGACAAAUUUAUUUUGACUUAAAUAAUUUAAGUGCAAAGGAAUGAAAUACACGGUAAGAAAAACAAUGAAAUUGUUGGGAAAAAAAAAGGAGGUUCAAAUUUACAAGAUUCGGCAAAUUUGAAUCCUCAAUUUUUUCUAGUAUUUGAGUCAUAUUCUAAAUACAUUUCAUAAAUCAAGAAUGGAUUACUAUAGCAGUCUUAACAAUAGCAUAUUGCGAAGAUGACCGAGUAAUACAACAUUUGGCAUAAAACAAGUUAAAUUCAUUUUUUCACAUUGAACAAACCUUUUAAGAGUUCAAAUAACUAACUAAAAUUGAUUUAAAUUCAUUUCAAACUUGUUGAUUGAAUCUGAUUUAAAGUUGUCUCAGUCGAGCGUGUAUGUUGAUGAUAAAAAUAAGAUCAACAAAUCCCACACGCCCAUUUAUAACUUUCACUUCCUAAACUCACAAAUUUAAAUGCUCAAACAGGAGCAAGAAGUAAAAUAAUUAUUUGAGAGAGAGAUAUUUAAAUUGCAUGCCUUCUUAUUCAAAUGACGGGGUAUUUAUAGAUUUUCCUCCAGGUUUCGGGAUAAUUUGGUGAUUUAUGAGAGUGACAAAUGAGGGAUUUAUUGGCUAUUUUGUAACUGAUUCGGUUAAGAAUCACUCUUUACUCACGUGUCCACAUGUUCAUUAUUAACGGUAUAUAGCCAGCCAAGAUACGAAAAAUGGUUCGUGACUUUCUAGGCGAGCAUUCUGCUCCUUCGUUCCCCUUGCUUUAAGCUUCAUCGAUAAAGAUAAAUCUUGCGAGAUGUAUUCCUUUGUUCAACAUAUGUGAAUUAUUGUGUAUGGAUCCUCCACAAUAUGAUUUGACUGCGCUUAAAUAUGUUAGAACAAAUAAUUACAUAAUAUAAUAUUUGAUUGAUUAAGAAAGAUCAAAACGGGAAAUAAAAUUACAGAAAUAUAUAAUCGUUAAAAGUUCUGUUGGAGGAAAAAAAUAAAAAACAUGGAGAAAAUAAAAGGAAAACGCAGAACUUCCUAAGAGACCAAUUUUUGGUCUGCUUGGAUCGACAUUUAUUUAUGCAGGUCGCACUUGCACACAAGUUCAAAGUUCGAAGUGUUGAUUUGGUCCAUAAUUUAUACCAUUGCACACGCACAUGAAAAUAAUUUCUAUACUACACAUAAGGUUGAGCAUGAUCUGAUUCAGUUCGAUUCGGUUCUAACGAGAAUCGAAUCGAAUCGAACUCGAAGUUUUUGGAUAUCUAGUAAGUGGAACCGUUGGAUCCAAAUUUAAUUAUGGAACCGUUCAGAUCCCAUUCCGUUUAGUUCAGUUCGGUUCUAUUCAGUUCCUCGGUUCCGUACUAUAAUUCAUUUUUUUAAUAAUUACAAAACUACAUUAAUUCAACAAUGACAUGUUCAGUCUUCACUCUCAUGAAAUAAUAUAGUUCAAUUUUAUGUGUUUUCGUUAAAAUUACAGAAAGAGAAAAAUAGCGAGCUCACAAUAAUUAAGAGAGUCCCUGUCGAGCAUCAAUUCGAUUGCCUCAAAAUGGUAAAAAUGGCACUACAAUAGAAUAACAUAUUUAGGUAAAAUUUAAGUCAAUUUGAUUAAGCCAAGUUUGGACAGAAAUUAAAAAAAGGAAAAUCAUAUUUUUGAGUUUGAGUUGAUUAAUUAGUUAGCAAUUUUAUUUCAAAAAUAAAAUAUUUUGGCUUAUUUAAAAUAAAUAAAUUAAAAAAAUUAGGAAGAUUCGAUUUUUGAUCUAGAACCAAGUCGACUCAGAUACCCGUUCGAGUAUUUAACUUACGAAAAAUUGCUUGGUUCAAUUAAAUUCGAGUCCGAUUUGGUUGGUUCGAGAAUUUUGCCUAGGACUGAGCUUGGUCUGGUCCGAACCGGACCCGAAAUUUCGAGUAUUUAGUAAGUAGAAUCGUUGGAUCCAAAUUUAAUUUUGGAACCGUUCAGUUUCGGUUCCAUUUGGUUCUCGAGUUCCGUACUAUAAUUAAGUUUUUUAAUAUUUAUAAAAUUACAUUAAUUCAACUAAUAAUAUGCUCAAUCUUAACUUUUAUAGAAUAACGUAGUUCAAUUUUAUGUGCCUUUUGCCUCUCUUUUGUUGAAUUUUUUAUAAAUUUGAUUGUUAAAAUCACCAGGAAAGAAAGAUAGCGAGCUCACAUAAUUAAGAGAGGCGAUAUCGGGCUUCAAUUCGAUUUCUCCAGAAUGGUAGAAAUGACACUACGGUCGAAUAACAGAUUUGGGUAAAAUUUAGAUUAAUUUGACUAAAUUAGGUUUUAACUGAAAAUUAGAAAUGAAAAAAAUCAUAUUUUUGAUUUUGAGUUAAACUAACUAGUUAGCAAAUUUAUUUAGAAAAAAGUAAAAUAAUUUGGAUUAUUUGAAAUAAAUAACUUAAAAAAAUUAGAAAAAUUCGGUUUUUAAUCUAGAACUGAGAACCGAAUUGAACCGAACCCGUCGGUUCUCAAUUUAAAUAUCCAUUAUGGUAUUUUCAGUUCAGUUCGGUUCGAGAGUUUUGUCCACAUCUAGUUUUGCCCAAUCCUAAUUGCACAUGAUUAUAAACUUGAAAAAUGUAGCCAUAUAUAAAUUGAUUUUUUCCUUGAUAAUUUUUCUAUGUGGGACCGUUAACUGUGCUUCCAUCCAACACAUAAAUUUCUUUCAUCAUGUACAAUUUGAACUCUAAUUUCUCAUUCUUCCGAGCAUCAAUUUUGACACAUAAAUAUAUGAUUUUGUUGUUUUCACGGACAAAAACACAAGUCUACUUUGAUCAUCCAAAACGAAGAAUUGAAUCCAAAUCAAAAUUAUGCCAAAAUCAGCCUCAUAAAGCUAUUUUUUCCCAACAAAAUCUAACUUUGAAUUUUAGUUUUACUUAUAAAUAAUUUUUUACAUAAAAGGGAUGCAUGAUUUUGUAAGACUUAAUCUACUUUGCCAAAAGAAUUUGACAAAAAACUUGAUAUAAUUAUAUGUGAUAGUAAAUGAUUAAAUGAAAAUUUUGACUAUCUAACAACACUUGGUAUUAUGCAAACCUUGAUUUUAUACACUACCAUCUUCUUUUGCUAUUAAGGGAAGCCCCUCCUAUGCACCAAGCAAAAUCUUCUGUCAUAUUGGUUCGAAUCCUUGCGGCAGCUAGAAGGCAACAUUUAUGUUGGAAGACAGUUGUCCUAUGAAGGCAAAAUUAUAGUACGCUUUGUCGUCCAUCUGGAGGUCUUGUCCGCACAUCAUAAAGGAAGGUUUACGAAGAGAAGAACCACAUCCUGAAUAUCCGGCCCAAAUGUGUAUAAAUUAUUUUCGCAUCCGGAUUUACCCUAGUGGCGAACCAAUGGGGAAAACCGUCACUCCUCAGGAUUAGUCAAACGAAACUUGAACACCUGGGUUUAAAUAAAUAAAUAAAUAAAAAUAAAAAAUUCGUCUUUCAUAGUGCAACAUUGACGAAAUACCUUGGUUUCUGACACUUCCGACGAAUGUGGGCCCAUUGCAUUUUCCUAUAGAAUCUAAAACUUUUCUAACAUUGCCACGAUAUAUAUCACAAUCAUCCAAAAUAAGCAGGAAUUGUCAACAUUUAUUUCAUUAGUUUCGCGUAUUACCCUUUUUAUUAUUACUUUAUUUAUUUAUCUUUUACUAAGUUCGCACGAAAAAAGUGAAGUAUAUUAUUCAAAUACGUUAAUUAUUUAAAUUCGUAUUUGUCAUAUCAUUCGCUCUUAGAUGGUUGACAUUUGCAGUGUAGUUGGAGUUUAUCGAGUACUAAAAAUCUAAUUUUUAUCAAAAUCAAAUAGAGAUUGAAUAGGAAGGAUCUACACUCACAGAGCAAAUCUUAUUUUUAUUCUCGAAGUUAAUGGAAAUCAUGUCCAAAUUAAACUAAUCAAUUUAGCUUAUGCUCCAUUGAUAAGUUGGAUUAAAGUAAUGUCCCAUUUAGAUGAUUCAAACUAGACAGAAUCUAAACAUAUGGCCCUUCAUGGGGUGAUCGAGUUGAUAGAGUAGGUGAGCGCGAAAAUCUUUGGUCACGAGUUUUAUUUCCUCUAUCAACACUCUCUCGAUCGAGUCUGUCGCACCGGACUUGCUUAGUGCGGUUUACCUGGCUGGCGUGGUUUGCAGGUUAUUACGCCAGCCAGAAAGUUUAUCCAGUGCGCACCCGAAGGGUAGCAGCUACGGGUUCUCCGUCAUUGAAAAAAUAAAUAAAUAAAUCUAACGUUGCCACGAUAUUUGACAAUCAUCCGACAAGCAGUAAUUGUCAAUAAUGUGGGACCUUAUUUAGUUAAUUUUUAAUGAAACAUCGACGUAUAUUUUAUUGACAAUUAUUGAGCUGGCCCGCUAUCACUGAAAGAAGGAUAUUACACACUGCACGUAUUAAAAAUUUCUAGCUUUGAAGGUUACUAAUCCAAGGAGCUUCGACUCCCAAAAAUUAAAUAUCGACUAUUACUCCAUAUUUUGAUUAAUACCCGAUAUUAUUCGUUUAAUAUACACAUGCAAUACUUGAUGAAAUUUAAUUAAGCUCUUCACUCCCUAUAGUUAUUAGCACCAUCCACUCGAACUAUCCGUUUUCUUAACAAUUUAGAAGCUGGCAUAAAUUUUCCAAAAGAAAUACCAUUUACCGAAAGGAGGAAACACCUUCAUUUGGUGGAUGUAUGGGUUUUGCUAGACGAGCUGUGCUCUGGGCAAUUCUGCUAGACAGAAUACAAUUGCAGAAAUAAUAUUUUAUUUAUACUGAAAAGAACAUGACAGGAAAUUAGAUGCCGAAAUGUAAAUUGUUUAUAAUUGCAAGAGGAAAAAACUUUCAGAUAAGGCUUAUGUAAACACAGUUUCCUUAAAACAUAUUCACUCCCUCACUGUUUCAGAUUUUAUCGAGCGUCUGUCUCCCAGAACACAAUGAAGAAACUAGUAGAAUCUUUGCACUUCAGAUGCUAUUUUGAAGAACUGAAUCCGUAUCUGAACCGACCACCAAGAAUUUGACAGUGUUAGUAAAGAUAAAGAUAAAUCAUAUGUUUAUCCUGGAGAUUAGUUAUGAUAAUGUUGUUAGGUUUUAAAUAGUUUGUUGUAACCUUUUUUCUACCUGAUCUUAUCUUUGUAACAAUACAUAUUUGUUAUAUAUAUAUAUAUAUAGUGAUUGGGAUAUAAAAAAGCUUAUGAUAUUAGAACUUACAGGUAUAAGAAAAAACAGGUUAACUUACCAAGUAAAAUAUAGUAUAGAUAUUUGUGGUUACUUUGAAGAAGAUAGUAUAGUAGGAACAUAUUUUAAAGAUUUAAUUGAAAUUGUAGAAAUUUUAAGAAUUACUAAAGAUUUACCUGUUGAUAUAAGAGAAAAUAUUAUAAAAAGAACUCUAGUUGAAGAAUAUAGACAUAUUUUUAUAAUAGAAAGAAUCUCUUACGAUCUAGAACUCUGGAUACAAAUAGAAAGCUUGAAUAUCUAGACUUAAACUUAAGAAAUACUAGUAAAAAAGUACACACAGUUGAUAAUAAUAUAAUUAAGUGUAAUUUUGACAAUAAACAUAAAUUACAUAGUUUAUUUUCAGAAGAUCCAAGUCAGAAUUGUUUAGUAGACUUAAUCAUAAAUUUAUCAAAAAUUUUAGAAUUAGAAAAUAAAAAAGCAAAAUAGUUAUUUAGAAAUUAUAAAAGAAAAUACUACAGCUAGAGAUCAAGAGACUAAAAAUAGAAAAGAAUCUUUAGAUUAUAUUAAAAAUCAAAAUUCGAGUAUUCUAGAAAAACUUGUUAAAUUAGAAAAAAUACCAUCUAAGUUAAAUUUAACAGAAAUAAAAAGAAUUUUAGAUUCUAAUAAAUCUAAAGAAAUAGAAAUAGGAUCUACAUCAAGUGUAGAAAAAGAUUUAAAAACUUUAACAAAUACAUUAAAAAAAUUAAGUUUUAGAGACACUGGAAAAGAAAAGGUAACUAGGAAAUUACCUAAAGAAUACAAAUUUUCAAGAUGAAUACUAAUCCUUUCUUAGGAAGAUCUAGAACAAUAAAUGAAGAAACAUCUACAUCUAGAAAUAGUACUUCAAGUAUAAGCAGAAAUAUAAUAGAAAGAGUUUUAAAUAGACCAGUACAAUAUAAUCAAAAUAUAGAAGAAAUUAUAGAUCCUCAACAGGAUUAUUUAAGAUUUCAGACUAAUGGACUAAUAAUCCUUAACCCAGAAAUAUUAUAUAAUAGAGGAAUUUUUGAAACAAGAACACAAUUUUUUAGACAUAAUAGAGAAGUAUCUGUUCAGUGUAUAGGAAAUCAAGUAAGAAAAUUAAAUUUAAUAUCAGAAGACUCAAAGAGAGAAUUAAAAAAGAAAAAUUUUAGAUUUAUGCAUUUAGGAUUAAUAGUUAUAGAAAUAAAAGGAUUAAUGAGGAAAAAUUUAGGAUGUAAAGUUUUAGUUACCAUAUAUGAUGAAAGAAUUAAUAACAUAGAUAAAAGUAUGAUUGCUAGUACAGAAGUUGAUAUGAAUAAUAAUAAUGGAAUAAUUUACUGUAAUCCAGAUUUUUUAUUAACUAUUAAAGAUUUUUCAGAUAAAAUUAAGAUAGGAAUCCAAACAAAAGGAUAUGAAGAGGUAGAUAGUGGAGAUAAUUUAUUAAUUAGUAUAGGAUUUUUAGGAAGAUGCUCAAACAAUUCCCAAACAAAAUAUAAAAUUUAUAUAGAUAAAGUAGUAAAUUUAAUGAGUAGUAAAGGAAUUAAUAUGGUUAAACCUAAAGAAUAUUCAUCAGAACAAUUAGCAGGAUUAGAAUGAGAUAUUGACAAAUUUUUAAAAAACCAAGAAACAAUUAUAGCACCACAAGAAGCAUUAACCUAUAAAGACAUUCAUGGAAGAACUAGUUUAAGAUUCUUAGAUUAUAAUCAGGUACAAAGACAGAAUGAUUUUGAGGAAGAAACCAAUCCUGAAGAAGAACAAAAUGAACCAUUUCAAAAUCAAGUUCAUAUAGAAUUGAUAGAUGAAGAAUUUGAUAGAAUAAUUUAUCCUAAGGAAUUAGGAAUGAAUUUAGAUAAUAAAGUAUUAUUAGAACUUGAAGAUCAAAUGUAUUUUAACAAGACAAUUACAGAAUCUGAAUAUUUAUAUUAUGAUCAAGAAAAGAAUAUAAGAAUAGGAAUUACUAAAGAAGAUAAUGACUCAGAAAAUUCAGAUCUCAGUUAUACAAAAGAACUUAUGGAAGACUGUAAUACAUAUAGAACUUUUAUUGAUACUCCUUUUGAUAGAACAAUUAAACAUGAAGCAAUGGUUUAUGGUGGAGGAUUUCUCCCAAGAGGAGCUUACCCUUUAUAUAAUAAUACAGAAGGAAAAUAUAUAGCAAGAGGAAGUGAAAGACCCUUAGAAAUGAAAAUAGAGUUUCAAUCAGAUCAUAAAGCACAGAUUUUAAAUAUUACAGCACAUGAUCCACAGACAUGGAAUAAUGUUAUAGAUAUAUGGAAAAACACUAUAAUAGGACAUUAUAUUAGAAAUUUUCAAGAAACGGAAGCCUUAGACAUGUAUAGAUAUUUAGAAACAUUCUUAGGAGAAAGUGUAAAAGUUACGUGGGAAGCAUUUAAAUUAGAAAAGAAAGAAGAAUUUGAACAAUUAAUCAACAUGGGUAGUAACCCUUAUAAUUUUGUUAAUAAAAUACAGAUAUUAAUAACAGGAGCAGACCCAAAUUCAGGACAUAUGAGUAUACAAAGAAAAGUUAUGAGAGAUUUAGAACAACUUAGUCUUUAUAAAUAGACUAAAGGUAGAUAUGUUAAGAACUUUUUAAAUGAGUACCAUUAUUUAACUUCAAUAUCAGGAAAUACAUUUAAUCAAGAAAUUGGUAAUAAAUUAUUUCACAAACUACCAGGACCAUUAGGAUUAGAAAUCACAGAUAAAUGGAAUAAUUUACCAGCUGUAAAAGAAGAACCAGAAAAACAAUGGAGUAUAGGACAAAGAAUACAACAUGUAAUAAGAUGUUUAGAAGAUAAAUGUGUAGAGUUACAAAUUCAAAAACAAUUUAAAAAGACAGAUUAUAAAUUCUGUAAAGAUAUUUUUACCCCACAAACUUAUGGAGCCUCUAGUUCAAGAAAAAAUAAAUAUAGUAAUAAAGAAAGAAAGAAUAAAAGAUCUUUUAACAAAAGAUAUUUUCUUAGAAAAUCUAAUAAGAGAAAACCAUAUUUAAAUGAAAAAAGACAUGUUAGAAAAUUUAAAUCAGAAAGAACUUAUAAAAAUAGAUUUAAUUGUUAUGUUUGUAAUAGUAAUGAGCAUUUAUCUAAGACUUGUCCAAAAAGAAUAAAUAACUUUGAUAAGAAGAGUACAUUAAUAGAAUGUACUAAUGAAAAUUUAAUGCAACUAGAUGAAUAUAUUUCAGACAAAGAAUCUAUUUAUAGUAUUAUAUCUAUAGAAGAUAGAGAUUUAGAAGAAAAUAAAGAAUCUGAUUAUGAAAUAAUAGAUGAUUUCUCAAAUAUGAGAUUGCAAGAGGAGUCAGAAUCAGAAGAAGAACUAAAUUUAAUGAAUAAUUUGAUCACAAAAUGUAUACAUAAUUGGCAAAAAUACAAAGGAGCAGAUAAUAUAGCCUGUUAUUUAUGUAACUGGUACCCAGUAAGAAAACUUAGAGCUAAAUGUUUAGAAUGUUAUAAAGAAUCAUGCAUAAAAUGUUUAGAAGAAAAGAACCUUAUUGAAAAAGAAGAAGUUAAUUCAGAAAUUCUAAAAGAAAAAAUUGAAAUAUCAGAAAUAAAAAUUCUCAGAAAAAGAAUAGAAAGUCUAGAAGAAAUGUAAAAAUUUAUAAUAAAUAAAAUAGAAAUGUUAGAAUACAAUAAUAAAGGAAAAAUAAUAGAAAUAGAAGAACAAAGUCAAGGUACAGAAUAUAAAGAAAAAGUAUAUGUUCAGGUAAUAUGUAAUCCAGAAAAACUUAAAAGUAUUAAGGUAAAAUGUUACAUAAGAAUAGGACAAUAUGAAAUAAAGUGUUUAGGAUUAAUAGACUCAGGAUGUAAUAAUUGUAUAAUUAAUAAGAAAUUAAUACCAAAACAAUAUAUAACAUAUUCAGAUAAACCAAUAGAAGCACAACAGAUGGAUGGAGAACUUUAUACUUAUACAGAAUUAUUACAAUCAAAUAGUAAGAUUAGUUUUGAGACAAACUGUAGUAGAAGUAUAGAAUAUACCUUACCAAAAGAAUCCGUAUGGGUAAGACCUUUAAACAUUAAAGACACAGAUUUUAUUAUAGGAUUAAGUUUUUUAUUAAAAGACAAUAGAAGUGUUACAAUUACUAAAGAUUUCUUACAUUUACAAAAACAUACAUUAUUUACACCAACACAGACUACUUAUUUUCCAUCAGAGUGCGUAGAGAAGCGUGGUGGUAGUAGUAGUAGUAAUAGCUGUAAAUGUGAAAAAGAAAGAGAAUGUUAAUUAAUAGAAGAAGGUAAUUUAGAGGAAAUAAAUUUUGAAAUUCUAGAAAAAGAUAUUUUAGAAAAAAUAGAUUUUGGAAAUAUAAAACUAAUUGACAAUGAAAAGAUCUAUGAUAUGUUAAUAACAGAACAAGAAAUAGAAAACUUAAUAUCUAGACUAUAAAAGAUAGAAAUAAUAGGAGAAAAUGUUUUAAAAUACUGGGAGAAAGAUAAAAUCUUAUGUGAAUUAAAAAUUAAAAAUCCAGAAUACAUAUUUAAAAUUAAGAAUAUAGAAGUUACAAAUUUAGACUUAGAAGACUUUAAAAUACAUAUAAAAGAACUCUUGGAAUUAGGAGUAAUUAGAAAAUCAGAUAGUCCUCAUAGAUCAGCAGCCUUUAUAGUUAGAAAACAUUCAGAAAUUGUUAGAGGAAAAAGUAGAAUGUUUAUUAAUUAUAAAAGAUUUAAUGAUAACACUAUAGAAGAUGCUUAUAAUAUACCAGAUAAGACAUUUUUAAUAACUAAAAUACAAGAAUGUAAAAUUUUUAGUAAAUUUGAUUUAAAGUCAGGAUUUUGGCAAGUAAAAAUGCAUCCAGAAAGUAUUAAAUAGACAGUUUUUACUUGUCCAGAAGGACAUUUUGAAUGACUUGUAAUGCCAUUUGGAAUUAAGAAUGCACCAAGUAUUUUUAAAAGAAAAAUGGAAAGUAUUUUUAAUAGACAUAGUAAGUUUGUAAUAGUAUACAUAGAUGAUAUUUUAGUUUUCAGUAAAAAUAAACAAGAAUAUAGAGGACAUUUACAAAUAGUAUUUUCAGAAUUUAUUAAACAUAGUUUAACAAUCAGUAAAAAGAAAAUGAUUCUAUUUAAAGAAUUUAUAGAUUUUUUAGGAGUUAAUAUAGGAGAAGGUAAAAUUAAGUUACAACCCCAUAUUUCUAGAAAGCUUUAGAAUUUUCAGAUAAAUUAGAAGAUUUAAAACAAAUCCAGAAAUUUUUAGGAUUAGUAAAUUAUGCUCGACCAUUCAUAAAAGAUUUGGGAAAAAUAGCAGGACCCUUAUAUUCAAAGACAUCUCCUACAGGACAAAGAUUUUUUAAUCAAGAAGAUAUAAAGUUAGUACAACAAAUAAAAGAAAAAAUAAAAACUUUACCAGAAUUGGCUAUGCCACUAGAUUCAGAAUAUUUAAUUAUAGAAACAGAUGGAAGUAUGAUAGGAUGGGGAGCUAUACUAAUAUGCAAACCCAAUAAAUAUACUAAUAAAAGUACAGAAAGAAUUUAUAGAUACAAUAGUGGAAAUUAUAAAGAAAAAGAAAAUUUAAGUAGUAUAGAUGCAGAAUUAUUAGCUAUAAAUUAUGCAUUAGAUAGUUUUGAAUUAUUUAUUAUAUCUAAAAAAGAAAUAACUAUAAGAACAGACUGUGUGCCAUAGUUUCCUUUGUUAAUAAAAUGAAAAUAGAUUCAAAAAGAAGUAGUAGAAGAAGAUGAUUAAAUUUUAUAGACAGGAUAACAAAUACAAGGAUUAAUAUAGAAUUUGAGCAUAUUAACGGUAGUGAUAAUAAAGAGGCAGAUAUACUAAGUAGAAUAAUAAUAGAUAGAAAUUAUUAAAUUUGUUUAACAUAAUUUUGUUAUACAGAUGACAAGACCAAGGCCUAUAAGACCAGAAAUUCCACCUGGGAAUUCAUUUGCAUCAAGAUCUUUACCACAGACUCCAUUUAAUCAGAAUAGACCAAUGUUACAAGACAGACUAAGGUUUGCAAACCAAGAACUUAUAGUCUUUCCUAACAGUAAUAUUUCUUUUAAAAUUUUACCGCAUAUUUCUUUAUCCAGAGAAGAGAAAUGUAUUUUAGACAAUUUAUGAAUUUCUUAUAAUAAGAACCCAAAAGAUCAAAAAUAUUUUCUUGCAUGCAUGAAUGCAUUGUCAGAACAUUUUAUUCAGAACAAGCAAAGAUUUAAAUUCUAUGUUGUUAUUAAAGGUAAAAAUUCAGGAAUUUUUCAUUCUUGUAUAGAAGUUUUAGACUGCAUUAAAAAUUUUCAAGAUCCUCUGUACAAAGGUUUUACAAAUUUUCAAGAAGCAUAAGAUGUAGCAAGACAACAAAUAGGAAUAAACUUUUAUUUAUCCCCCUCUUUAAAGAACUACUCUGAUCCUCCAUUAGAUUUCUCUCCAAGUAAAGACCAGAAUAUUUUUUGCCAACACUGUGAGUGUAUGCAAAGAAAUUACAGAGUUAUCAAUGAAGCCAAUCAGAAUCUCUCAUUAGAAAGAACUCAACUCCAAAAGAAAGUGGCACAACUAGAAAAAGAGAUUUUGGACCUAAAAGUCCAUUAUCCAACAGGUACUAUGGAGCCCAAGAAGUCCAUAGCUAGUCCAGCUCAAACGGUAGCUGGUAAAAACUUAUCAAAUCCGUUGAAGGUUGUGGACUUACCAAAAGCCCAACAGACUCAGGGGACUGUUGAUUCCUCUACUAAAUUAGAUAAUCAGACUCAGCAGACUGAUAAAUCUGCUACAGAAAAAGGUAAAGAGAUUUGGGAUAUUUUAGGACAGCCCAGCGGAAAAUUUGAUUACUUAGUUAAAUAUAGUCCACCAGAGCAUUUUUCACCAGAAUACUUUUCAAAUAAUCCAGAAUUCUCACAAGCCCAAGAAAAUUAGCCCAGUAAGGGAAAAGAAAAAAUGGUAGCCCAAGAUAGUCAAGACUGUUUAUUUAUCCAAGAAUCACAAGACCCUAAUCCAGAUACUGUUUUUUUAGAAAAGAUUUUUGAAAAAAUUGAAGAAUUUCAGAAGCAAUCCAAAAAAGAUGAAGGAACUUCUUCCAGAAAAAAGAAAAAGAUUAAGAAGAAGAAAAAUGAUGAAGGAUUAAAAGAACGAAUUAGAGAAGCAGUCAACCAAGCAUUUGAGACAAUCUUAAAAAAGAACCAUGGAGAAGAAAAAGAAAUUACAGAAUGCCCAGAUCAGAAAGAAAAAGAUGAAGCGAGUAACUCUAGACUUUCAGAUGAAGACGAAGAUCCACAGGAUGAAGGAUACAAUAAUUCAGACAGUGGAAUGUCAUUUUCAUCAGUGGCACGCCACAAUCUUGAUACGUGUUAAAGAUCUUCAAUAAUGCCUAACAAGACAAAUCUGAAAGAAGAAAAAGUAGAACACUUUUUAUCAUUAUACUGUAGAAUUUUAGAAAAAAGUUUUAUUAUUGUUGUAUUAUUAGAAAAGGUGUCGGGACUUUUUGAAAAAGAAAAGAUUCCCAUUUGAAUUUUUAGACUUUUGAUAGACCUUUUUGUAAUUUGGGGGGCCUUAUGCCAACUUAAAAAAUGGGACUCCUAUAUUUUAAGCUUUCUUACAAAGAGUUUUAAUAUAAUUAUGAAAAAUCUAAUAUAGAUAAUUAAGUCUAAAAAUUUGAAGAGAAAAAUAAUAAAAUGUCAAAUUUCAACAUGCAAUACAAAUUAAAAGCGAAUUGUGGAAAACAGAAAUACAACACAAUGGAAAAUGAGUAUGUUCAUUUCUUUGAUCAUUUUCUCAUUGCAAUUAUUUUAAACAAAUUUGAAUAUGCAUUUGAGUAAUUUAUAUACAAAAUGGGAGAAUAUUGACUACGAGAGAUAGUGUAACAAAAUAAUGAAAAUGACAAUCAAAUACAAAUGAGUUUUUAAUUUUAUAUUAAUUCACAAGAAAUUAACUUACAAGUAAGACGUAUAAACACAGGCAAAAAUUUAUUAAAAUCAAAAUACCUUUAACAAACAUAUAAAAAUGUUGUUAUCAUGAGAUUAAAUCAAAACAAUAAUAACAGCAAUCUAUGUACUCUGUAGUAUAUGUUUUGAAGAUAGGGAAGGAAGAAAUAAACAUGUAAGGUUGUAACAAUGACAGUGAGAUCAAAUCAAUCUUAUAAAUUGAAUCUUCACAAUUUUAGUUCAAAGGGAGAUAAUUUAUUUCUUGCUUGAUUGAAAAAAAUUAUGGUAGGUGACUGUUGGACGUAGAAUUUGAAGAGAUAAAAAGACAUCUUGUUUGGUUAAAAAAAGUAAGUAAAUGUUUGGAAGAUAAAUGAUCAAAUUAGUUAUAAAUAGAGAAAGUAAUGUUUGUGAUAUAUUCAUGUGAUAAAUAAAUGUAAAUGAUAAGUUUUAUAUCAUUUAUAUGUUUUUUUAAAGGUUUUCGUAUUUUUAAUUUUUAUUAAUUUCAUGUGUUUGCAUAUGAUUAUUUUAUUUUAAAGAAUUUCAUAAAUACAAAUUGUUUUUCUUCUUCGGCCAACACCAAUUAAUCUUGCAUAAUUUAGGACGAUCACCUACCCUACCUAUAGUCAGGGCAACCAUUGGCAGAGUGAUCACAUUUUUUGAACAAUUAGGUUGGUUGAUUCUAAACAAGUAAACAUUAUAAGAUGAGGUCAUCGCGCUUGACUCAUUUAAAGGUCACUUUUUGUAUAAUCUUGAAAAAAAUUGUAGAGAGUGAGAAUAGGAAGUAAACAUUAUGAGAUGAGGUCAUCGUGAUUGACUUCUUAUUCAGAGGUCACUUUUUGUAUAAUCUUAAAAACAUCGUAGAUAGUGAGAAUAGGAAGUAAACAUUAUAAGAUGAGGUCAUCGCGAUUGACUUCUUAUUCAAAUAUCACUUUUUGUAUAAUCUUCGAAAACAGUGGAAUAGGAAGUAAAUAUUAUAAGAUGAGGUCAUCGAGAUUGACUUCUUAUUCAAGCUCACUUUUUUUUGUACAAUUUUGGGGGCCCUGAAAACAGGGACUAAGAAUAAAUUUUGGGGGCCCUGAAAACAGGGACUAUGAUGUGACGGCAUGUUGAGCUUGAUUAGUAGUUUGAAGCCAAUGUAAACCUCUAAGAUGACAUAUAGAGAGUGAGAUUAGGAAGGAAAUAGGAAUUCUAGUUUUCUCUAAUAAUGGAAAUUGUUAAGAAAUGGAUCCAAGAAGCGAAGAGCAAAUUGGGAAACUUUUAUCUGUGUUCACCACCACCCCAAGGUCCAGGAUCCUCCCCGUCCCAUGUUGGCCUACGACGACAAUCAAAAUAACCCACAACCUCUUCCGCCAGAGAAUUUCGACUGGACAGGUCCAAUCAUUUCUUUCUGCUUCACAUCAACUAGUGGUAUUGCAAUGUUGCCACCAAGUCGAAGAGAAACCUCACCAAUGAUCUUUUUCUGUGUUCUUGUGAUUCUUGCAUUUUCAUUCAUGUGGGUGAAAAAAUAUAUCCAAAGCAAGUAUCCAGACUGGGCCAAAAGGAUGGAACUGGCUGGUAUAUUGUGUACUUCCACAGCUUUCUUUUUAGUGUUUUUGAUCUCUCAUCCCAUGAGCUAACUUUACCCUGUUCUUUCCUCCUGAAAUUAGCACUUCUUUCAUAAUCCAUGUCAAAAUUGUCUGAUUCAUAAUUACGCCUUCCACUCCUCUCAGGUGUCCUGGACACAUUGGAACUGUCUACCUCUGUCCUACUUUUGUCUCUCACCCACAUGCUACUGUCUUCAUCUGCAUUGAAAGACCUCUUUGUCAACAUCUCGACUAGUUGGAUUUCUUGGCUGUCUAUUCUCCUCAAAUCUCUCUUUACUUGAUCUAUCUUCAUGUUAAGCUCUUAUCUCAUAGUCCUCAAGAGCUUCAAACUCCCCCCCUCCCCCCUUACUCCUUUCUAUAUCGACUCUUACUCUCCUCUCUGUCCUGAGCCUUAAUACCAUUUCAUUAAUUGGGUCAAAACCCUUGCAUUUGCUAUUGCCUGGCUCAACUUUCAGGGUGUCACUUCUUUCUCUGGCACUCUCCAGCUUAGGAUCAGAAGACUUCCCACUUCUU
This 36356-nucleotide long non-coding RNA is filed under the name Olea europaea (common olive). RNAcentral's name for it is "long non-coding RNA (OEUR_LNC008381)". Lineage: Eukaryota; Viridiplantae; Streptophyta; Magnoliopsida; Lamiales; Oleaceae. The record is from RNAcentral.